GGGUCUCUGAUGACAAACUUAUGUCAUGGAGAGAGAUGGUGACAUAAAAAUCAUAUUCCAUAUAAUUAUGUUGAGUCCC
This is a small nucleolar RNA of Onychomys torridus (southern grasshopper mouse), 79 nucleotides long. RefSeq annotates it as small nucleolar RNA SNORD115. The transcript has a single exon. The record is from RefSeq and is a predicted model, not a curated record. NCBI's taxonomy places the organism in Eukaryota, Metazoa, Chordata, Mammalia, Rodentia, Cricetidae.